GAUGAACGCUGGCGGCGUGCCUAAUACAUGCAAGUCGAGCGAACGGACGAGAAGCUUGCUUCUCUGAUGUUUGCGGCGGACGGGUGUGUAACACGUGUAUAACCUACCUAUAAGACUGGGAUAACUUCGGGAAACCGGAUCUAAUACCGGAUGAUCUUUUGAACCGCAUGGUUCAAUAGUGAAAUACGGUCUUGCUGUCACUUAUAGAUGGAUCCGCGCUGCAUUAGCUAGUUGGUAAGGUAACGGCUUACCAAGGCAACGAUGCAUAGCCGACCUGAGAGGGUGGUAGGCCACACUGGAACUGAGACACGGUCCAGACUCCUACGGGAGGCAGCAGACGGGAAUCUGCCGCAAUGGGCGAAAGCCUGACGGAGCAACGCCGCGUGAGUGAUGAAGGUCUUGGGAUCGUAAAACUCUGUUAUUAGGGAAGAACAUAUGUGUAAGUAAAUGUGCACAUCUUGACGGUACCUAAUCAGAAAGCCACGGCUAACUACGUG
Molecule: ribosomal RNA, 497 nt
Filed under: uncultured bacterium
Lineage: Bacteria
Description: partial 16S ribosomal RNA
Rfam family: Bacterial small subunit ribosomal RNA
Source: RNAcentral